RNAcentral lists this unclassified non-coding RNA (306 nucleotides) under plant metagenome. RNAcentral's name for it is "partial contains 5.8S ribosomal RNA, internal transcribed spacer 2, and large subunit ribosomal RNA". The stretch from base 1 to 105 matches the Rfam family "5.8S ribosomal RNA", at positions 50 to 154 of the family's 154-position model. The record is from RNAcentral.
GAAAUGCGAUAAGUAGUGUGAAUUGCAGAAUUCAGUGAAUCAUCGACUCUUUGAACGCACAUUGCGCCCCUUGGUAUUCCAUGGGGCAUGCCUGUUCGAGCGUCAUCUACACCCUCAAGCUCUGCUUGGUGUUGGGCGUCUUUGUCCCGCCUCCGCGCGCGGACUCGCCCCAAAUUCAUUGGCAGCGGUCCUUGCCUCCUCUCGCGCAGCACAUUGCGCUUCACGAGGUGUUGCGGCCCGCGUCCAGAAAGCAAUCGUUACCGUCUUUGACCUCGGAUCAGGUAGGGAUACCCGCUGAACUUAAGC